RNAcentral lists this ribosomal RNA (500 nucleotides) under uncultured bacterium. RNAcentral's name for it is "partial 16S ribosomal RNA". It matches the Rfam family "Bacterial small subunit ribosomal RNA", at positions 30 to 523 of the family's 1533-position model. The record is from RNAcentral.
AUUGAACGCUGGCGGCAGGCCUAACACAUGCAAGUCGAGCGGAUGACGGGAGCUUGCUCCUGGAUUCAGCGGCGGACGGGUGAGUAAUACCUAGGAAUCUGCCUGGUAGUGGGGGACAACGUUUCGAAAGGAACGCUAAUACCGCAUACGUCCUACGGGAGAAAGCAGGGGACCUUCGGGCCUUGCGCUAUCAGAUGAGCCUAGGUCGGAUUAGCUAGUUGGUAAGGUAAUGGCUCACCAAGGCGACGAUCCGUAACUGGUCUGAGAGGAUGAUCCAUCACACUGGAACUGAGACACGGUCCAGGCUCCUACGGGAGGCAGCAGUGGGGAAUAUUGGACAAUGGGCGAAAGCCUGAUCCAGCCAUGCCGCGUGUGUGAAGAAGGUCUUCGGAUUGUAAAGCACUUUAAGUUGGGAGGAAGGGCAGUAAGCGAAUACCUUGCUGUUUUGACGUUACCGACAGAAUAAGCACCGGCUAACUCUGUGCCAGCCGCCGCCGUAA